UCUGACCAGCUUGCUGGUUGGUGAGAGUGGCGAACGGGUGGAGUAAUGUGUGACCAACCUGCCCCAUGCUCCAGAAUAGCUCUUGGAAACGGGUGGUAAUGCUGGAUGCUCCAACUUGACGCAUGUCUUGUUUGGGAAAGUGUUUAGUGGCAUGGGAUGGGGUCGCGUCCUAUCAGCUUGUAGGCGGGGUAAUGGCCCACCUAGGCUUCGACGGGUAGCCGGCCUGAGAGGGCGGACGGCCACAUUGGGACUGAGAUACGGCCCAGACUCCUACGGGAGGCAGCAGUGGGGAAUAUUGCGCAAUGGGGGAAACCCUGACGCAGCGACGCCGCGUGCGGGAUGAAGGCCUUCGGGUUGUAAACCGCUUUUGAUUGGGAGCAAGCCUUUUGGGUGAGUGUACCUUUCGAAUAAGCGCCGGCUAACUACGUGCCAGCAGCCGCGGUAAAU
RNAcentral lists this ribosomal RNA (447 nucleotides) under uncultured Gardnerella sp. RNAcentral's name for it is "bacterial SSU rRNA". It matches the Rfam family "Bacterial small subunit ribosomal RNA", at positions 68 to 525 of the family's 1533-position model. The record is from RNAcentral. Lineage: Bacteria; Bacillati; Actinomycetota; Actinomycetes; Bifidobacteriales; Bifidobacteriaceae.